GACGGGUGAGUAACGCGUAGGAAUCUACCUGGUAGUGGGGGACAACUUGGGGAAACUCAAGCUAAUACCGCAUACGCCCUAUGGGGGAAAGCGGGGGACCUUCGGGCCUCGCGCUAUCAGAUGAGCCUGCGUAGGAUUAGCUAGUUGGUGAGGUAAAGGCUCACCAAGGCGACGAUCCUUAGCUGGUCUGAGAGGAUGAUCAGCCACACUGGGACUGAGACGCGGCCCAGACUCCUACGGGAGGCAGCAGUGGGGAAUAUUGCGCAAUGGGGGCAACCCUGACGCAGCCAUGCCGCGUGUGUGAAGAAGGCCUUCGGGUUGUAAAGCACUUUAAGUGGGGAGAAAAGGGUAGCGGUUAAUAGCCGUUACCUGUGAUGUUACCCACAGAAUAAGCACCGGCUAACUCCGUGCCAGCAGCCGCGGUAAUACGGAGGGUGCGAGCGUUAAUCGGAAUUACUGGGCGUAAAGCGCGCGUAGGUGGUUUGUUAAGUCAGCUGUGAAAGCCCCGGGCUCAACCUGGGAACUGCAGUUGAUACUGGCCGACUAGAGUACGAGAGAGGGAGGUAGAAUUCCAUGUGUAGCGGUGAAAUGCGUAGAUAUAUGGAGGAAUACCGGUGGCGAAGGCGGCCUCCUGGCUCGAUACUGACGCUGAGGUGCGAAAGCGUGGGGAUCAAACAGAAUUAGAUGCCCUGGUAGUCCACGCCGUAAACGAUGUCUACUAGCCGUUGGGAGACUUGAUUUCUUAGUGGCGCAGCUAACGCAAUAAGUAGACCGCCUGGGGAGUACGGCCGCAAGGUUAAAACUCAAAUGAAUUGACGGGGGCCCGCACAAGCGGUGGAGCAUGUGGUUUAAUUCGAUGCAACGCGAAGAACCUUACCAGGUCUUGACAUCCAGAGAACUUGGCAGAGAUGCCUUGGUGCCUUCGGGAGCUCUGAGACAGGUGCUGCAUGGCUGUCGUCAGCUCGUGUCGUGAGAUGUUGGGUUAAGUCCCGUAACGAGCGCAACCCUUGUCCUUAGUUGCCAGCGAGUAAUGUCGGGAACUCUAAGGAGACUGCCGGUGACAAACCGGAGGAAGGUGGGGACGACGUCAAGUCAUCAUGGCCCUUACGACCUGGGCUACACACGUGCUACAAUGGAACGCACAGAGGGCUGCAAAGGCGCGAGCUGGAGCCAAUCCCACAAAACGUUUCGUAGUCCGGAUCGGAGUCUGCAACUCGACUCCGUGAAGUCGGAAUCGCUAGUAAUCGUGGAUCAGAAUGCCACGGUGAAUACGUUCCCGGGCCUUGUACACACCGCCCGUCACACCAUGGGAGUGGGUUGCUCCAGAAGUGGUUAGCCUAACCUUCGGGGGGGCGAUCACCACGGAGUGAUUCAUGACUGGGGUGAAG
RNAcentral lists this ribosomal RNA (1388 nucleotides) under metagenome. RNAcentral describes it as "bacterial SSU rRNA". It matches the Rfam family "Bacterial small subunit ribosomal RNA". The record is from RNAcentral.